GCCUACGGGGGGCAGCAGUAGGGAAUUUUCGUCAAUGGGCGCAAGCCUGAACGAGCAAUGCCGCGUGAACGAGGAAGGUCUUCGGAUCGUAAAGUUCUGUUGAAGGGGAAAAAGAGCGGAGAGAGGAAAUGGUCUCCGAUUGAUAUUACCCUUCGAGGAAGUCACGGCUAACUACGUGCUAGCAGCCGCGGUAAUACGUAGGUGGCGAGCGUUAUCCGGAAUGAUUGGGCGUAAAGGGUGCGUAGGCGGCCUGCUAAGUCUGGAGUGAAAGGUACCGGCUCAACCGGUACAGGCUCUGGAAACUG
This 305-nucleotide ribosomal RNA is filed under the name uncultured bacterium. RNAcentral describes it as "bacterial SSU rRNA". It matches the Rfam family "Bacterial small subunit ribosomal RNA", at positions 337 to 635 of the family's 1533-position model. The record is from RNAcentral.